UGAGGAAUACUGGUCAAUGGGCGAGAGCCUGAACCAGCCAAGUAGCGUGCAGGAUGACGGCCCUAUGGGUUGUAAACUGCUUUUGCGCGGGGAUAAAGUGCGCCACGUGUGGCUCAUUGCAGGUACCGCGCGAAUAAGGAUCGGCUAACUCCGUGCCAGCAGCCGCGGUAAUACGGAGGAUCCGAGCGUUAUCCGGAUUCAUUGGGUUUAAAGGGUGCGCAGGCGGGCCUGCAAGCCCGCGGUGAAACCCCGGGGCUCAACCCCGGGCCUGCCGCGGGAACUGCCGGCCUUGAGUCGCGGCGAGGGCUGCGGAACGCGGGGUGUAGCGGUGAAAUGCUUAGAUACCCCGCAGAACUCCGAUUGCGAAGGCAGCAGCCCAGGGGCGUACUGACGCUGAGGCACGAAGGCAUGGGGAUCGAACAGGAUUA
RNAcentral lists this ribosomal RNA (428 nucleotides) under uncultured Prevotella sp. RNAcentral's name for it is "bacterial SSU rRNA". It matches the Rfam family "Bacterial small subunit ribosomal RNA", at positions 355 to 780 of the family's 1533-position model. Lineage: Bacteria; Pseudomonadati; Bacteroidota; Bacteroidia; Bacteroidales; Prevotellaceae. The record is from RNAcentral.